Bactrocera oleae (olive fruit fly) is the source of this 2498-nucleotide non-coding RNA. The record is from RefSeq and is a predicted model, not a curated record. NCBI's taxonomy places the organism in Eukaryota, Metazoa, Arthropoda, Insecta, Diptera, Tephritidae.
AAUACUUAUUUGCACUCGGAAUUAUUUAAAAAAAAAAGUGUGUAAAUUAUAUAGUGAAAGUGAAAUAUAGAACACUGAAUUUCGGAUUGAAAGAGGAUUUGCUUGAAAUUCAUUCGAAAAUGCAUUACAGAACCUACCUGUAUAUAACAAUUUUUUAUGAAAAAUUUAAACUACCUGAAAACUCAAUUUUUUGUUUUGCUUCAAAUAAGUUCAUACAAUAAAUUUUUUGAGAUUUCCCAAAAACUAAAAUUUAUAAAAAGCUGUGGAUUAACUUUUACGACACAGAUUCAAGAUUUUGCUCAAAUUGUUUACAAGAGGAUGAUUUCGAAGUAGAUAUCCAAUUCAAAUUGGGAGAAAAAGAGGUCUUCUUGACCAACAGGAAUUCAAAUAUCGUCCUCGUCCCUAUAUCAUAAGGCAAUGUUGAAGGAUUUUCAGGUAUACUAUUACAAAAACUCCACCUGGAAAUUCUUAUGGGACCAAAUACUGAGGACGAGUUAUUGGAUCUCAAAUUCGACGGAGCAUUUGACGGAAUACAUUCCAUAUGUAUGAAAAAAAUUCAAUCUGGUUGAGUGUUCAGAGAAUACAAAAUAUACAUCGGUUAAUCACUCAAUUUUAGGUGAUACAAAAAACCGUUAGGUCAACAAAACUAUUAUAUUCUGUACAAGUUGCGAGAUUAUACAAAUUAUGAGUUCUGGAGGCUGUUUUCGGCGAUGAAUUUUACAAUUUCGGAAUUAAUGGGAAGCCGAACGGCAUCAAAACCUGCGGUUUCGUCAGGUGAAGUCGAAUAUUUCGAAUGUUUCUUCGCCUUUGGUAUAUACCAGUGACUCCAUGAUUCGAUAGUCUCAAAACGGAGCAAAAACUCAUUCGAAUUACACUUACCAGCGUCAAAUGAUUUAACGGCUGCUCUUGUUGUCCGGAAGGAACAAAUAUGGUGCUCAUCACAUCUACAGCUUUGCCAUGAAUCAUGUUUAAUGCAUUUUUUUUUAGAUACCUACUAUCUUAGCUAUAUGAGAUAUUAGACUCUUGUCACGUUAUCCCUGUGUGGCUCUUCAAAAACAGACGUGCGAUUACGUUGACACUUGUUGGUAGUCGGCAUCGAAGGAAAAUAAUCACCGAACCCAGCAUCCAAACGUUCUUUGAUUUUAUUGCUUAUGUCCUCCCACAAAAACAAUGGAAUCACCGAUCGAUAAUUCUCUUUUUAAAUUUUUUAAUUCCGUAAGUGGUCAAAAAUAAAACUACGACUUCGAUUCUGCUGAAAUUUUGACAGUAAUUGUACUAAAUGUACUAGAGAAUAGUAAAUUUCUCUUACUUUAAUGGCAUGGUCAUUAUUGAUUCACAUUCGUAGUGUUUGAAUGUAAGUAAUUAAUAAUAUUACAUUAAUGUUGAUGGUUUAGACAAAAUAUAUUAUAUAUAGAGGAUUAUCGAAAUUGGUUCCAGUUAUUUUCGGUCUUCCAGUAAUCUAGGUUUUGACAGAAUGACUUUUCCAUGCGUUUGAUAUUGAUACGAAAUCCCAUUGUUUAUUGCAAAAUAUGUUCUGUCUGUUGAUUUUGUUAAAAGUCUUAAAUGAACCCGUUUCAGAGUGCGUCAAACAUUUCAGUAAUUAAUUUUUUCGAGUACAAAAGGUAUAGUAAUCGUUUUUUAAUGUAAUAGUUAUUUUUUCUUUGUUUAUGGUACUCAAAUUUUACAGAUAUCCAAACUUUAAAAGUUAUUACAACUCUUGUUUAAAUAAAAAAUAAGAAACUCACUGUCGCAUAAUAUGUACAGAGAUUACCUAAAAUUAUUGUUUAUGGACCAGGCAUAAUCUAAAGAGAGUCGUAUAGCAAUUUUCUUUUAUUUAAUAAAUGGAACAGUUGUCCAUUUCGUCCAUGUCAGAAUUUUUGAUUUGCUGAAGUUUUUCACGAAAUUUCUUUGUGAUUUGUUUACGCUGAUAGUCCGCCUCUAUUUCCUGUUUGGUGCGUGGUAUUCGAAAUCGAAUACAGCAGCAGACCAUAAUUACUAAAUGGAUAUGAAAGAUAUAUUUAUUAUAUAUUUUCGAGUUCAAUAUAAGUGAAAUAUUAAAAAAAAUUCGGCGAUUUUAUUUAAGACUAGCAAAUAGUCAGUGGAGUUCUCGAAAAGGCCCGUAUUUUCCAGAAUGUCGAGACGAUGUUGUCUAAUGAAGCUAUUGACCUCAGACAUGUUUACGUUGCAAAUUUUUAGAACCUGUCUGUCAUACAACUUAUUGAAUGCCAUCAAUGCUCGAAAAUUAGGAAGAUUUUUCCCAAAUAUUUGUAUCGCUUUGAGAAUGUUUUGCACUUUACCCGUUUUUGUUUCAAGUGGUGAACGUUCGUUUAGUGCUUUAGCAAGGAUCAAAUACUUUCAUCAAUCAUGCUCGCCACGGGGCAAGAUUCCAGAACAAGCUAUACUGUGCCUAGAGGCCUCAAAAUGAUCUUUAUUUCAUUAAUUAGAUCGAUAAAUAAAUGUUUGAAUGAGAUCGAUAAAUAAAUGUUUGAAUGAGAUGA